UACGAAGGGGGCUAGCGUUGUUCGGAAUUACUGGGCGUAAAGCGCACGUAGGCGGAUAUUUAAGUCAGGGGUGAAAUCCCGGGGCUCAACCCCGGAACUGCCUUUGAUACUGGGUAUCUCGAGUCCGAGAGAGGUGAGUGGAAUUCCGAGCGUAGAGGUGAAAUUCGUAGAUAUUCGGAGGAACACCAGUGGCGAAGGCGGCUCACUGGCUCGGUACUGACGCUGAGGUGCGAAAGCGUGGGGAGCAAACAGG
RNAcentral lists this ribosomal RNA (253 nucleotides) under uncultured bacterium. Its description in RNAcentral is "partial 16S ribosomal RNA". It matches the Rfam family "Bacterial small subunit ribosomal RNA", at positions 524 to 776 of the family's 1533-position model. The record is from RNAcentral.